AGAGUUUGAUCAUGGCUCAGAUUGAACGCUGGCGGCAGGCCUAACACAUGCAAGUCGAACGGUAACAGGAAGCAGCUUGCUGCUUCGCUGACGAGUGGCGGACGGGUGAGUAAUGUCUGGGAAACUGCCUGAUGGAGGGGGAUAACUACUGGAAACGGUAGCUAAUACCGCAUAACGUCGCAAGACCAAAGAGGGGGACCUUCGGGCCUCUUGCCAUCGGAUGUGCCCAGAUGGGAUUAGCUAGUAGGUGGGGUAACGGCUCACCUAGGCGACGAUCCCUAGCUGGUCUGAGAGGAUGACCAGCCACACUGGAACUGAGACACGGUCCAGACUCCUACGGGAGGCAGCAGUGGGGAAUAUUGCACAAUGGGCGCAAGCCUGAUGCAGCCAUGCCGCGUGUAUGAAGAAGGCCUUCGGGUUGUAAAGUACUUUCAGCGGGGAGGAAGGGAGUAAAGUUAAUACCUUUGCUCAUUGACGUUACCCGCAGAAGAAGCACCGGCUAACUCCGUGCCAGCAGCCGCGGUAAUACGGAGGGUGCAAGCGUUAAUCGGAAUUACUGGGCGUAAAGCGCACGCAGGCGGUUUGUUAAGUCAGAUGUGAAAUCCCCGGGCUCAACCUGGGAACUGCAUCUGAUACUGGCAAGCUUGAGUCUCGUAGAGGGGGGUAGAAUUCCAGGUGUAGCGGUGAAAUGCGUAGAGAUCUGGAGGAAUACCGGUGGCGAAGGCGGCCCCCUGGACGAAGACUGACGCUCAGGUGCGAAAGCGUGGGGAGCAAACAGGAUUAGAUACCCUGGUAGUCCACGCCGUAAACGAUGUCGACUUGGAGGUUGUGCCCUUGAGGCGUGGCUUCCGGAGCUAACGCGUUAAGUCGACCGCCUGGGGAGUACGGCCGCAAGGUUAAAACUCAAAUGAAUUGACGGGGGCCCGCACAAGCGGUGGAGCAUGUGGUUUAAUUCGAUGCAACGCGAAGAACCUUACCUGGUCUUGACAUCCACGGAAGUUUUCAGAGAUGAGAAUGUGCCUUCGGGAACCGUGAGACAGGUGCUGCAUGGCUGUCGUCAGCUCGUGUUGUGAAAUGUUGGGUUAAGUCCCGCAACGAGCGCAACCCUUAUCCUUUGUUGCCAGCGGUCCGGCCGGGAACUCAAAGGAGACUGCCAGUGAUAAACUGGAGGAAGGUGGGAAUGACGUCAAGUCAUCAUGGCCCUUACGACCAGGGCUACACACGUGCUACAAUGGCGCAUACAAAGAGAAGCGACCUCGCGAGAGCAAGCGGACCUCAUAAAGUGCGUCGUAGUCCGGAUUGGAGUCUGCAACUCGACUCCAUGAAGUCGGAAUCGCUAGUAAUCGUGGAUCAGAAUGCCACGGUGAAUACGUUCCCGGGCCUUGUACACACCGCCCGUCACACCAUGGGAGUGGGUUGCAAAAGAAGUAGGUAGCUUAACCUUCGGGAGGGCGCUUACCACUUUGUGAUUCAUGACUGGGGUGAAGUCGUAACAAGGUAACCGUAGGGGAACCUGCGGUUGGAUCACCU
RNAcentral lists this ribosomal RNA (1530 nucleotides) under Escherichia coli ThroopD. RNAcentral's name for it is "bacterial SSU rRNA". It matches the Rfam family "Bacterial small subunit ribosomal RNA". The record is from RNAcentral. Lineage: Bacteria; Pseudomonadati; Pseudomonadota; Gammaproteobacteria; Enterobacterales; Enterobacteriaceae.